UGGCUCAUUAUAUAAGUUAUCGUUUAUUUGAUAGUACCUUACUACUUGGAUAACCGUGGUAAUUCUAGAGCUAAUACAUGCUAAAAAUCCCGACUUCGGAAGGGAUGUAUUUAUUAGAUUAAAAACCAAUGCCCUCCGGGGCUCACUGGUGAUUCAUGAUAACUUCUCGAAUCGCACGGCCUUGCGCCGGCGAUGGUUCAUUCAAAUUUCUUCCCUAUCAACUUUCGAUGUUUGGGUAUUGGCCAAACAUGGUUGCAACGGGUAACGGAGGGUUAGGGCUCGACCCCGGAGAAGGAGCCUGAGAAACGGCUACUACAUCCAAGGAAGGCAGCAGGCGCGCAAAUUACCCAAUCCCGACACGGGGAGGUAGUGACAAUAAAUACUGAUACAGGGCUCUUUUGGGUCUUGUAAUUGGAAUGAGUACAAUUUAAAUCCCUUAACGAGGAACAAUU
Molecule: ribosomal RNA, 452 nt
Filed under: uncultured eukaryote
Lineage: Eukaryota
Description: SSU rRNA
Rfam family: Eukaryotic small subunit ribosomal RNA
Source: RNAcentral